Salvelinus sp. IW2-2015 is the source of this 933-nucleotide long non-coding RNA. RefSeq lists it as uncharacterized. NCBI's taxonomy places the organism in Eukaryota, Metazoa, Chordata, Actinopteri, Salmoniformes, Salmonidae. The record is from RefSeq and is a predicted model, not a curated record.
UAUAUCAACUGGCUGACACAGAGGGCACAGCAUGAUCAUAGGUGGUACAGAAUCUGUUUCCACCACCAUGUGCUUCCAACCCCUAGCUCUGCACAAGGUGAAGGACCGUAUUUUUAAACAAGUCAAAGGAUGUGCCAUGGGAGCUUGCUACAGCCCUUCCUACGCUGGUUUGUACUUGGAUUGGAAUGUCCACAGUGCAAGGUGUUCUACAUUGGACGGACAAAGAAACGCCUUCAAGACUGCUUAGUGGAACACAAGUAUGCCAUACGGGUAGGCAAUGAUGACUACCCCAUGGCAAGGCACUACAAGUCCUUACACCAUGGCAACCCUGCCUCCCUACAAACUAUGGGUAUUUAUCAUGUUCCGGCCUCAAAUAGAAAAGGGGACCGUCUUAAACAGCUAAACCAAAGGGGACGUUUUGGGAUUUACAAAUGACAGGCCACUAAGUACCCUGGUCUAAAUUAAGAUAUGGAUUUCUCGCCUUUUAUGUAGGGUCGUGAUAGGACCAUUUGCUGUCAUCUAGUGGACAUGUUGCUCUAUUGCCCUCAGCUAUGUUUACUGUUGUUGUCCAUGUUUGCUGUGGUCUAGUGUACUAUGGAAUAGAUUGCUUUCCUUUUCUUGGCACUUUGCCCAGUCAUAUUUAAGGUUAGAACUACCUUUCUAAGCGUUCUGAUGUUUCUAGCAUGGCGUAAACAUUAACAUUAUUUCCCUUUAAUGUGUAAAGUAUUGCUUACUAGGCGUUGUCGAAUCUAUUUUGUAACCACUCCCUCUUCUAAUUAGGGCUGAUUGGAAAAAGCUGUUCAAAAGAGGACAUUGUAUUAUAAUUUAUGUGUACUCCCUGGCAAAGACCAUGCAGCCCGAAACGCGUCGGGUUUUUAAAACUUUGUUUCUAUUGAACAUGCCAUACAAAUAAAGCCAUUUUAAUUAAUUAUA